UAGUAGCUUUCGACCGAUGGUUUCUUGUUUUGUUUAAAUUGUUUCAUCCAAAAUCCAUAUCGUUUCAUCUAAAAUCGAUGUCGUUCAAUUUUUUGAGGAAGUUUGAAAGUCUUCUAGGAGUAAUUGUACUAUACCCUGUUAGGAGAAAUAGUAGUGUAAAGUAAUUUGGUUGAAAAGAGUAGCUUUCGACCGAUGGUUUUAUGGUUUCUUGUUUUAUCUAAAUUGUUUCACCCAAAAUCCAUACUGUUCCGUUUAAAGCCGAUGUUCUAUUCGAUUUUUUGAGAAAGUUUGGACAGUCUUCUAGGAGUAAUUGUAUCAUACCAUGUAUGGAGAAAUAAAAUAGUAAAGUAACUUGGUUGGAUAGUAGCUUUCGACCGAUGGUUUUAUGGUUUCUUGUCUCAUCUAAAGACCAUAUUGUUUCACUUAAAGUAGAUAUCCUUCGAUGUUUUAAAGAAGUUUGAACAGUCUUGUUGAAGUAAUUGUAAAGUAAUUUGGUUGGAUAACAGCUUUCGACCGAUGGUUUUAUGGUUUUUUCUUUCAUCUGAAAUCGAUAUCGUUUCAUCUAUCGAGAAAGUUUGGACAGUUCUGUUGUAGUAAUUGUAUUAUUCUAUCUACGGAGAAAUAGUGGCGUAAAGUAAUUUGGUUUGGGUAAUAGCUUUCGACCGAUGGUUUUGUGGUUCCUUGUCUCAUCUAAAGACCAUAUUGUUUCAUUUAAAGUCGAUGUCGUUUCAAUGUUUUAAGAAACUUUGAACAAUCUUAUUGAAGUAAUUGUAAAAUAAUUUGCUUGGAUAACAGCUUUCGACCGAUGGUUUCAUAGUUUUCUUUCAUAUAAAGUCGAUAUCGUUACAUUUUUUGAGAAAGUUGGAACAAUCUUAUUGCAGUAAUUAUACCAUACGUAUAAAAAAAUAGUAGCCUAAGGUAA
Long non-coding RNA from Bombus pascuorum, 922 nucleotides. RefSeq lists it as uncharacterized. Lineage: Eukaryota; Metazoa; Arthropoda; Insecta; Hymenoptera; Apidae. The record is from RefSeq and is a predicted model, not a curated record. The transcript is spliced from 3 exons.